This is a non-coding RNA of Podarcis lilfordi (Lilford's wall lizard), 74 nucleotides long. Lineage: Eukaryota; Metazoa; Chordata; Lepidosauria; Squamata; Lacertidae. The record is from the annotation of a GenBank genome assembly.
GCCUGGAUAGCUCAGUUGGUUAGAGUGUGGGGUUGAGGACAGUAAGGUUGCAGGUUCAAUCCCUGUAUGGGGCA